AAUUGACGGGGCCCUGCACAAGCGGUGGGGCACGUGGUUUAAUUCGAUGAUAAGCGAAGAACCUUACCUGGGCUUGCCAUACUAGCAGUAGGAGCCAGAGAUGGUAACGACCCCUACUUUUGGUAGGGGAACUAGUACAGGUGAUGCAUGGCUGUCGUCAGCUCGUGUCGUGGGACGUUGGGUUAAGUCCCGAAACGAGCGCAACCCCUGUUGUUAGUUGCCAGCGGGUAAUGCCGGGGACUCUGACAAGACUGCUGGUGAAUAGCCGGAGGAAGGAGGGGAUGACGUCAAGUCAUCAUGUCCCUUAUGUCCAGGGCGACACACAUGCUACAAUGGGAGGUACAAUGGGCUGCUAAACCGCAAGGUCAUGCGAAUCCCAAAAAGCCUUCCUCAGUUCGGAUUGAGGUCUGCAACCCGACCUCAUGAAGCCGGAAUCGCUAGUAAUCGCAGGUCAGCCACACUGCGGUGAAUAUGUACUCAGGGCUUGUACACACCGCCCGUCACACCAAUCGAGUAGAGGGGACCUGAAGUCGUCUUACGGGCGCCUAAGGUAACUUCUGUAAGAGGGGUG
Molecule: ribosomal RNA, 571 nt
Filed under: uncultured candidate division MSBL6 bacterium
Lineage: Bacteria
Description: bacterial SSU rRNA
Rfam family: Bacterial small subunit ribosomal RNA
Source: RNAcentral